RNAcentral lists this ribosomal RNA (255 nucleotides) under uncultured bacterium. RNAcentral's name for it is "partial small subunit ribosomal RNA". It matches the Rfam family "Bacterial small subunit ribosomal RNA", at positions 26 to 285 of the family's 1533-position model. The record is from RNAcentral.
AGGACGAACGCUGGCGGCGUGCUUAACACAUGCAAGUCGAACGAUGAAGCCCUUCGGGGUGGAUUAGUGGCGAACGGGUGAGUAACACGUGGGCAAUCUGCCCUUCACUCUGGGACAAGCCCUGGAAACGGGGUCUAAUACCGGAUAACACUCCUGCCUGCAUGGGUGGGGGUUAAAAGCUCCGGCGGUGAAGGAUGAGCCCGCGGCCUAUCAGCUUGUUGGUGGGGUAAUGGCCCACCAAGGCGACGACGGGUA